RNAcentral lists this ribosomal RNA (497 nucleotides) under uncultured bacterium. RNAcentral describes it as "partial 16S ribosomal RNA". It matches the Rfam family "Bacterial small subunit ribosomal RNA", at positions 28 to 507 of the family's 1533-position model. The record is from RNAcentral.
GAUGAACGCUGGCGGCGUGCCUAAUACAUGCAAGUCGAGCGAACAGACGAGGGGCUUGCUCCUCUGACGUUAGCGGCGGACGGGUGAGUAACACGUGGAUAACCUACCUAUAAGACUGGGAUAACUUCGGGAAACCGGAGCUAAUACCGGAUAAUAUAUUGAACCGCAUGGUUCAAUAGUGAAAGACGGUUUUGCUGUCACUUAUAGAUGGAUCCGCGCCGCAUUAGCUAGUUGGUAAGGUAACGGCUUACCAAGGCGACGAUGCGUAGCCGACCUGAGAGGGUGAUCGGCCACACUGGAACUGAGACACGGUCCAGACUCCUACGGGAGGCAGCAGUAGGGAAUCUUCCGCAAUGGGCGAAAGCCUGACGGAGCAACGCCGCGUGAGUGAUGAAGGUCUUCGGAUCGUAAAACUCUGUUAUUAGGGAAGAACAAAUGUGUAAGUAACUAUGCACGUCUUGAUGGUACCUAAUCAGAAAGCCACGGCUAACUACGUG